AAUAUUUGACAAUGGGCGAAAGCCUGAUCCAGCCAUGCCGCGUGUGUGAAGAAGGUCUNCGGAUUNUNAAGCACUUUAAGUUGGGNGGAAGGGUUGUAGGUUAAUACCCUGCAAUUUUGACGUUACCAACAGAAUAACCACCGGCUAACUUCGUGCCAGCAGCCGCGGUAAUACGAAGGGUGCAAGCGUUAAUCGGAAUUACGUGGCGUCAGGCGCGCGUAGGUGGUUCGUUAAGUUGGAAGUGAAAGCCCCGGGAUUAACCUGGGAAUUGCUUUCAAAACUGACGGGCUAGAGUACGGUAGAGGGUAGUGGAAUUUCCUGUGUAGCGGUGAAAUGCGUAGAUAUAGGAAGGAACAUCAGUGACGAAGGCGACUACCUGGACUGAUACUGACACUGAGGUGCGAAAGCGUGGGGAGCAAACAGG
RNAcentral lists this ribosomal RNA (424 nucleotides) under uncultured bacterium. Its description in RNAcentral is "partial 16S ribosomal RNA". It matches the Rfam family "Bacterial small subunit ribosomal RNA", at positions 360 to 776 of the family's 1533-position model. The record is from RNAcentral.